Molecule: ribosomal RNA, 445 nt
Filed under: uncultured bacterium
Lineage: Bacteria
Description: partial 16S ribosomal RNA
Rfam family: Bacterial small subunit ribosomal RNA
Source: RNAcentral
CCUACGGGAGGCAGCAGUAGGGAAUUUUCGGCAAUGGGGGGAACCCUGACCGAGCAACGCCGCGUGAACGAAGAAGUUAUUCGUAAUGUAAAGUUGUUUAACAGGGAAGAAAGAGAAAUUUGACGGUACCUGAAGAAUAAGCUCCGGCUAACUACGUGCCAGCAGCCGCGGUAAUACGUAGGGAGCGAGCGUUAUCCGGAAUUAUUGGGCGAAAAGGGUGCGUAGAUGGCAUAGUAAGUCUUUUGUAAAAAUGCUGGGCUCAACCCAGUAGGGCAAAAGAUACUGCAAAGCUAGAGUAUGACAGAGGCAAGUGGAACUACAUGUGUAGCGGUAAAAUGCGUAAAUAUAUGUAAGAACACCAGUUGCGAAGGCGGCUUGCUGGGUCGAUACUGACAUUGAGGCACGAAAGCGUGGGGAGCAAACAGGAUUAGAUACCCCUGUAGUC